Molecule: ribosomal RNA, 360 nt
Filed under: uncultured bacterium
Lineage: Bacteria
Description: bacterial SSU rRNA
Rfam family: Bacterial small subunit ribosomal RNA
Source: RNAcentral
AACGAACGCUGGCGGCAUGCCUAACACAUGCAAGUCGAACGAGAUCUUCGGAUCUAGUGGCGCACGGGUGCGUAACGCGUGGGAAUCUGCCCUUUGCUUCGGAAUAACAGUUAGAAAUGACUGCUAAUACCGGAUGAUGUCUUCGGACCAAAGAUUUAUCGGCAAAGGAUGAGCCCGCGUAGGAUUAGGUAGUUGGUGGGGUAAAGGCCUACCAAGCCGACGAUCCUUAGCUGGUCUGAGAGGAUGAUCAGCCACACUGGGACUGAGACACGGCCCAGACUCCUACGGGAGGCAGCAGUGGGGAAUAUUGGACAAUGGGCGAAAGCCUGAUCCAGCAAUGCCGCGUGAGUGAUGAAGGCC